This 497-nucleotide ribosomal RNA is filed under the name uncultured bacterium. Its description in RNAcentral is "partial 16S ribosomal RNA". It matches the Rfam family "Bacterial small subunit ribosomal RNA", at positions 28 to 507 of the family's 1533-position model. The record is from RNAcentral.
GAUGAACGCUGGCGGCGUGCCUAACACAUGCAAGUCGAGCGAACAGACGAUGAGCUUGUGCUUUUGACGUUAGCGGCGGACGGGCGAGUAAAACGUGGAUCACCUACUUAUAUUUCUGGGAUAAUUACGGAAAACCGGAGCUAAUACCAGAGAAUAUGAUGAACCGGAGGGGUCAAUGGAGAAUCACGGCUUUGCUGUCACUAAUAGCUGGUUCCGGGCCGCAUUAGAUAGUGGGUAAGGUAACGGCUUACCAAGGCAACGAUGCGUUGCCGACGUGAGAGAGUGAUCGGCCACACUGGAACUGAGACACGGUCCAGACUCCUACGGGAGGCAGCAGUAGGGAAUAUUAGGCAAUGGGCGCAAGCCUGACGCAGCAACACCGCGUGAGUGAUGAAGGCCUUCGGUUCGUAAAGCUCUGUUAUUGGGGAAGAACAGAUGUGUAAGUAGACCCAGCCGUCUUGACGGUACCUAAUCAAGAAGCACCGGCUAACUACGUG